CGGGAAUCCAUUUAAAAAACAAAGCAAACCCUAAACGCUCCUGUGUUCGACAUUCGACAGAGACAAAACCUUCCUUCUCCAAAUCUCCACCGCCAGUCCGCCACAGCCCACAAACGGCCGGCCAAGUUCCAUACUUCCUCAGUUCCUCUUCGUCGCUCACAGACAUUCGACAUUCGUCGCUCAAUUCCAUACAUCUGACUGUUCUUCCUCUUCUUCGCUACCCCUACUGCUACUCGCUUCCUCUUCCUCUUCUCUUCAAUUCCAUACUUCGACUAUGAACUAAUGAAUUUCACAACACAGGGAUAGUAAGAAUGGCAGCUUUUAAUGACGUCUUUGAGAAGCAUGUUCCUUCAAUCUAGCCAACAUCAAAAAAUUCUGAUUCAUCCUUCUAUAAAUCAUCUAAAAGGUAGGUCUAGAGGAAUUGUCGGAAUUAUUGUCAGAUAUUCACUUGAUACAAUAAGAAUCUGACAAAAAAAUUCAAAUACGGGUGGUUCUGCAAUGAGUAUUUUAUGUCGAGUUAUAGCAACGAAAAGGGGUAGGAAUCGGGUUCUCGAGUGGUGAAACACCAGUUUCAAUAAGUGAGAGGCCAGAGUCUGUGGUGUUCUAUGCCUCAAGGUGGUAAUGAUCUCAAGCGCAUUCGCUUUAGAUUAUUCGAACGACGUGACGUUCGGAUUUUGCCCCCCCAAAUUGAAAUUCCUGGGUCCGCCACUGCCUCCAAGUAGUGACAAUGGUGAUGACGACGAUGAUGGUGAUGGUCAUGGGGAGGGAGAUGAAGGAUUUAAGACAUUUUUCAGAACAACCAAGUGAUAGGUUUCAAGGUCAAUCAUCAUUCAUUUGUGAAGCACACUAUGCACAAACAUUCCAGAGGCGUAAGAGAGAUGUAGGACAAUCUUCACGCGACCCUGUAGAAAAUGUUGAUCUAUCGCGUGACUUUUCUGCACAUCUGUUUCCUUCUGAUUCUGAAUCACAAGGGUCGAACAACGAUAGUUAUAAUGGUGUACUACUACCAUUUUCUUUAUCUCUAAAUGUUUAUCCACCUCAUCUACCAUUUCAAUUUGACAUUCAAAAUCAAUAUGGCUCCAUCAUCAGCAACCCUAACCCCCGACACCCUGAAAAUAUUCACAUUAUGAACCAUGAGACAAUGCAUUAUGGUGGAGAGAGUACAUUAUCAUCAACCUACAAUUUAUGAAAGUAGCUCCGGCUCAAGUUAGAAUGGAUGUUGCAGGUACAUUUUUUUUGGAGGCUAUCAAGGAGCUCAAAAUGAUGAAAAUGAGAGUAAUGCCAAUCAAGAUCCUCCUUGACAUUCGUUUUGGUAUUAAGUUAUAAUGUUGGCUCAAAAGUCUUGUUGUUCAAUAAAAAAAUAUUAUAUUUUCCCAAGCAUAAGUUUGUAAUAGUUUAAAUGUUAAUAUAUCUAUUUAAUUAUAGCACAAUUUAUGUUCAUUUU
This is a long non-coding RNA of Amaranthus tricolor (Joseph's coat), 1444 nucleotides long. RefSeq lists it as uncharacterized. The record is from RefSeq and is a predicted model, not a curated record. NCBI's taxonomy places the organism in Eukaryota, Viridiplantae, Streptophyta, Magnoliopsida, Caryophyllales, Amaranthaceae. The transcript is spliced from 3 exons.